GAUGAAGAACGUAGUGAAAUGCGAUACUUGGUGUGAAUUGCAGAAUCCCGUGAACCAUCGAGUCUUUGAACGCAAGUUGCGCCCGAAGCCAUUAGGCCGAGGGCACGCCUGCCUGGGCGUCACACGUCGUUGCCCCCCCAUCUACUCCUUCGGGAUUGCGGGGGGCGGAUGAUGGCCUCCCGUGCGCCUCGUCGCGCGGUUGGCAUAAAUGCCAAGUCCUCGGCGACGCACGCCACGACAAUCGGUGGUUGCGAAACCUCGGUUGCCCGUCGUGUGCGGUCGUCGCGCAUCGAGGGCUCGAAAAAAUUGCCGGGCUCCGGCUCGGCUUUCAACGCGACCCCAGGUCAGGCGGGGUUACCCGCUGAAUUUAAGCACAUCAAUAAGCGGAGGA
This 391-nucleotide unclassified non-coding RNA is filed under the name soil metagenome. Its description in RNAcentral is "partial contains 5.8S ribosomal RNA, internal transcribed spacer 2, and large subunit ribosomal RNA". The stretch from base 1 to 122 matches the Rfam family "5.8S ribosomal RNA", at positions 35 to 154 of the family's 154-position model. The record is from RNAcentral.